GGGGGUAUAGUUUAUUUGGUAGAAUGCCGACGUAGCAUGUUGGAUGGCUUGGUUCGAGUCCAAGUAUCUCCA
This 72-nucleotide transfer RNA is filed under the name Ilyonectria destructans. RNAcentral's name for it is "tRNA-Ala". It matches the Rfam family "tRNA". From Rfam's summary of the family: Transfer RNA (tRNA) molecules are approximately 80 nucleotides in length. Their secondary structure includes four short double-helical elements and three loops (D, anti-codon, and T loops). Further hydrogen bonds mediate the characteristic L-shaped molecular structure. tRNAs have two regions of fundamental functional importance: the anti-codon, which is responsible for specific mRNA codon recognition, and the 3' end, to which the tRNAs corresponding amino acid is attached (by aminoacyl-tRNA synthetases). tRNAs cope with the degeneracy of the genetic code in two manners: having more than one tRNA (with a specific anti-codon) for a particular amino acid; and 'wobble' base-pairing, i.e. permitting non-standard base-pairing at the 3rd anti-codon position. The record is from RNAcentral. Lineage: Eukaryota; Fungi; Ascomycota; Sordariomycetes; Hypocreales; Nectriaceae.